GACGAACGCUGGCGGCGCGCCUAACACAUGCAAGUCGAACGAGCGAGAGAGAGCUUGCUUUCUCGAGCGAGUGGCGAACGGGUGAGUAACGCGUGAGGAACCUGCCUCAAAGAGGGGGACAACAGUUGGAAACGACUGCUAAUACCGCAUAAGCCCACGGCUCGGCAUCGAGCAGAGGGAAAAGGAGCAAUCCGCUUUGAGAUGGCCUCGCGUCCGAUUAGCUAGUUGGUGAGGUAAUGGCCCACCAAGGCAACGAUCGGUAGCCGGACUGAGAGGUUGAACGGCCACAUUGGGACUGAGACACGGCCCAGACUCCUACGGGAGGCAGCAGUGGGGAAUAUUGCACAAUGGGGGAAACCCUGAUGCAGCGACGCCGCGUGGAGGAAGAAGGUCUUCGGAUUGUAAACUCCUGUUGUUGAGGAAGAUAAUGACGGUACUCAACAAGGAAGUG
Molecule: ribosomal RNA, 451 nt
Filed under: uncultured bacterium
Lineage: Bacteria
Description: bacterial SSU rRNA
Rfam family: Bacterial small subunit ribosomal RNA
Source: RNAcentral